This is a long non-coding RNA of Vitis riparia (riverbank grape), 858 nucleotides long. RefSeq lists it as uncharacterized. NCBI's taxonomy places the organism in Eukaryota, Viridiplantae, Streptophyta, Magnoliopsida, Vitales, Vitaceae. The record is from RefSeq and is a predicted model, not a curated record. The transcript has 2 exons.
AUUUUUAUUUCUAUUUAUUCAUAUAUGAAGUUUUAUGAUUUUGGAAGAUUCUCCCUGUUCUUUUCAAAAACUUUCACAAUUUCAAAAGCACCCUUCGUCGGCCGAUACGUGUCAUUGUCAUAUCACUUUAUUAAAACUUAAAAAUAAUCUAAAGUAAAAAUUAUAAAAAAAAAACAAAAACAAAAAACAAAAAACAAAAACCUUAAUAGUUAAGACAGCAUGUUUGUCCUCGAGUGAAUAAAUGAAAAGGACCCACACCAAGAUUAUGACAGCAAAGCCAACGCACUUUUCUCCUAAUCUUCCUCCGGAUUCUGGAUUUCCACCAAAUCUCUGCUUCUCUCCCAGACAAGGACCCAGUUUUGCUUCAGGGUGGUUGAUAGUUGCAGAAGAGAAGAUAAAACAAGGGCUCCUGAAGAAAUCCUGGGUGAAGAAGGUUGAAGAAAGUGAUGGGUCAUCACCACCACCACCACCACCACGAUGAUGAUGAGCAUGGUCUCCUCUUGCUGUGCUGUUGCUGGCCAUGCUUGGUGGUGUCCUCUAUCUUUAGAGGAAUAGGGAGAUGCGUCUCCGCGGCCGGUUAUUCUCUGAUGCAGUGCUUCGGAUUUGACUGCCGCCACCAUCACCAUUGUCAUUUCCACUGAUCAUUCUUCAUUGCUUUGAGACUUGAUUUGGGAGGUCGAAUUCAUGUGGGGUUUUAUUUAUCUUUCAGGGUUUUUUUUUUUUUUUUUGAAGACGAAAUCUGAUCAACAAAUAGUUGAUAUUGUUGGGUUUUGCAGUUUCUCUUAGCUUUUGAUGCUUCCGUUUCAGCAGUCUGUUACCCAAGAAAUUUGAAUCGGUUUUACAAAAGCUUGCUUCCCA